GGAGUUUAAAAGAAUGUUUAUAAAUUCAUGUAUAAAUUGGGAAAACUCGACAUUGGCUGUUACGUCUCUUGCAUCAGCGUGCGUACCGUCAUGGGCGGAGCUACGUCACCAGCAGCAGCAGACUCUCAUAUCUCGUGCUGCUGAUGUCUUGAGCAGCGUGAUGCAUUAUGUUAACCUGCCUUUGUUGGUGUUUGUCCCAGGUAUGUUUUAUUCAGAUUUGUCGCGUUCUGUGUGAAGUUAUGUUAGUUAAUUUGAGUGUUAGCCCUAACUCACGUGUCGGCACACAUGCUCACACGUGCUCGCACGUGCUGAUCUGUGUAACCAUGCCAUUUAGGGUCUGUGCUCAUUUUCAGUGUUUCAUUUAAUUAUGUAAAAUGAUGGUUAUUCAAGAUUAUGCUUCUCUGUAUUUGUGAAGUGAUAAUGAGAACAGAGACAAUGAUUUAUAUUUUCUUUAAUGUGUUUUAUUUUGGUUUUUACUCCACUAUAUGUUCACGAUCACCCUGUAAAAAUAUUAGUGAGCAGACUCUCAUAUCUCGUGCUGCUGAUGUCUUGAGCAGCGUGAUGCAUUAUGUUAACCUGCCUUUGUUGGUGUUUGUCCCAGUCUGUUUGUCCCAGACCCAGUAAAGUGCAUCUGUGAGUAACCAUC
Pimephales promelas (fathead minnow) is the source of this 646-nucleotide non-coding RNA. The record is from RefSeq and is a predicted model, not a curated record. Lineage: Eukaryota; Metazoa; Chordata; Actinopteri; Cypriniformes; Leuciscidae.